ACUAGUGUUGAGUUUCAUUGCAGGGACAAAAUGGUCCCAAGAAAAGAUGAAAGUCCAAAAGAUUAUUACGACUGUAUGGGAUAUUUUUCAACCACUUCUUUUUGGUUUAGUUGGAGCAGAAGUAUCUGUUUCAUCGCUUGAAUCAAAUAUUGUUGGCUGUGUUAGGUCCUCUGGCUCUAGAAACAGCAAGAGUCUCCGCACCCCACUUGGAACCAUAUGCGAAGGAUGUGAUGACAGUAGCAUUUUUAGCCAUCUUGAUCACAGCUCCAAAUGGAGCUCUACUUAUGGGCAUUCUGGGGCCUAAAAUGCUUACACGCCAUUAUGAUCCAAGCAAAAUAAAACUGCAGUUGUCAACAUUAGAACAUCAUUAAAAAGUUUACCUGUCAUCAUC
Molecule: non-coding RNA, 391 nt
Filed under: Pan troglodytes (chimpanzee)
Lineage: Eukaryota; Metazoa; Chordata; Mammalia; Primates; Hominidae
Also listed under: 1 other name
Source: RNAcentral